CCCUUCCACCUAUAAUGUCAUCCUAGGACGAUCCACACUUAACGUGCUCUGAGCAAUUAUGUCGACAUGCCAUCUACUCAUGCACUUUUCGACUAGGAAAGGAACUAGAGAAAUGAGGGGAGAUCAACAAGUGGCCCGAUAAUAUUAUUUAAUCAUAAUCAAAGAAAAGAGGCCAGCUGAAGCUCUCCUCAUCGAUGAUGGACUGGAUUAGAGAGAAGAAGAGAGCCGCAAAGAACCUGCAAAGUAGCUCAUCUCAAUGCCCCUUAACGAUGAGGACCUGACCAAAACUGUCCAGGUC
Molecule: long non-coding RNA, 298 nt
Filed under: Elaeis guineensis (African oil palm)
Lineage: Eukaryota; Viridiplantae; Streptophyta; Magnoliopsida; Arecales; Arecaceae
Description: long non-coding RNA (EGUI_LNC018580)
Source: RNAcentral